GUGGGGAAUAUUGGACAAUGGGCGAAAGCCUGAUCCAGCAGUGCCGCGUGAGUGAUGAAGGCCCUAGGGUUGUAAAGCUCUUUUACCCGGGAUGAUAAUGACAGUACCGGGAGAAUAAGCUCCGGCUAACUUCGUGCCAGCAGCCGCGGUAAUACGAGGGGAGCUAGCGUUGUUCGGAAUUACUGGGCGUAAAGCGUGCGCAGGCGGCUCAGCAAGUCAGGGGUGAAAUCCCGGGGCUCAACCCCGGAACUGCCUUUGAAACUGCUAGGCUAGAAUCCUGGAGAGGCGAGUGGAAUUCCGAGUGUAGAGGUGAAAUUCGUAGAUAUUCGGAAGAACACCAGUGGCGAAGGCGACUCGCUGGACAGGUAUUGACGCUGAGGUGCGAAAGCGUGGGGAGCAAACAGGAUUAGAAACCCGGGUAGUCC
Molecule: ribosomal RNA, 425 nt
Filed under: uncultured bacterium
Lineage: Bacteria
Description: partial 16S ribosomal RNA
Rfam family: Bacterial small subunit ribosomal RNA
Source: RNAcentral